This 76-nucleotide transfer RNA is filed under the name Candidatus Obscuribacterales bacterium. Its description in RNAcentral is "tRNA-Arg". It matches the Rfam family "tRNA". Rfam says of the family: Transfer RNA (tRNA) molecules are approximately 80 nucleotides in length. The record is from RNAcentral. Lineage: Bacteria; Bacillati; Candidatus Melainabacteria; Candidatus Obscuribacterales.
GUCGCGAUAGUCCAAUGGAUAGGGCGGCAAUCUUCUAAAUUGCAAGGUGUUGGUUCGAUUCCAACUCGCGAUACCA